RNAcentral lists this ribosomal RNA (253 nucleotides) under uncultured bacterium. RNAcentral describes it as "partial 16S ribosomal RNA". It matches the Rfam family "Bacterial small subunit ribosomal RNA", at positions 524 to 776 of the family's 1533-position model. The record is from RNAcentral.
UACGUAGGGGGCGAGCGUUGUCCGGAUUUAUUGGGCGUAAAGAGCGCGCAGGCGGUCGUUCAAGUCGAGUGUGAAAGCCCCCGGCUCAACUGGGGAGGGUCACUCGAUACUGAUCGACUCGAAGGCAGGAGAGGGAAGUGGAAUUCCCGGUGUAGUGGUGAAAUGCGUAGAUAUCGGGAGGAACACCAGUGGCGAAGGCGACUUCCUGGCCUGUUCUUGACGCUGAGGCGCGAAAGCUAGGGGAGCAAACGGG